This 20-nucleotide unclassified non-coding RNA is filed under the name Dictyostelium discoideum. Lineage: Eukaryota; Evosea; Eumycetozoa; Dictyosteliales; Dictyosteliaceae. The record is from RNAcentral.
AAUACAUUACUUUAAAGAUU